Molecule: ribosomal RNA, 253 nt
Filed under: uncultured bacterium
Lineage: Bacteria
Description: partial 16S ribosomal RNA
Rfam family: Bacterial small subunit ribosomal RNA
Source: RNAcentral
UACGGGGGGGGCAAGCGUUGUUCGGAAUUACUGGGCGUAAAGGGCUCGUAGGCGGCCAACUAAGUCAGACGUGAAAUCCCCAGGCUCAACCUGGGAACUGCGUCUGAUACUGGAUGGCUUGAAUCCGGGAGAGGGAUGCAGAAUUCCAGGUGUAGCGGUGAAAUGCGUAGAUAUCUGGAGGAAUACCGGUGGCGAAGGCGGCAUCCUGGACCGGAAUUGACGCUGAGGAGCGAAAGCCAGGGGAUCAAACGGG